RNAcentral lists this ribosomal RNA (405 nucleotides) under uncultured bacterium. RNAcentral describes it as "bacterial SSU rRNA". It matches the Rfam family "Bacterial small subunit ribosomal RNA", at positions 976 to 1380 of the family's 1533-position model. The record is from RNAcentral.
UGGUCUUGACAUGUACGGAAUCCUCCAGAGCCGGAGGAGUGCCUUCGGGAGCCGUAACACAGGUGCUGCAUGGCUGUCGUCAGCUCGUGUCGUGAGAUGUUGGGUUAAGUCCCGCAACGAGCGCAACCCUUGCCCUAUGUUGCCAGCACGUGAUGGUGGGGACUCGUGGGGGACUGCCGGGGUUAACUCGGAGGAAGGUGGGGAUGACGUCAAAUCAUCAUGCCCCUUAUGUCUUGGGCUUCACGCAUGCUACAAUGGUUGGUACAGAGGGUAGCCAAGCCGCGAGGCGGAGCCAAUCUCACAAAACCGAUCGUAGUCCGGAUUGCACUCUGCAACUCGAGUGCAUGAAGUCGGAAUCGCUAGUAAUCGCAGGUCAGCAUACUGCGGUGAAUACGUUCCCGGGUC